AUUGAACGCUGGCGGCAGGCCUAACACAUGCCAGUCGAACGGUAACAGGAAGCAGCUUGCUGCUUCGCUGACGAGUGGCGGACGGGUGAGUAAUGUCUGGGAAGCUGCCUGAUGGAGUGGGAUAACUACUGGAAACGGUAGCUAAUACCGCAUAAUGUCGCAAGACCAAAGAGGGGGACCUUCGGGCCUCUUGCCAUCGGAUGUGCCCAGAUGGGAUUAGCUUGUUGGUGGGGUAACGGCUCACCAAGGCGACGAUCCCUAGCUGGUCUGAGAGGAUGACCAGCCACACUGGAACUGAGACACGGUCCAGACUCCUACGGGAGGCAGCAGUGGGGAAUAUUGCACAAUGGGCGCAAGCCUGAUGCAGCCAUGCCGCGUGUAUGAAGAAGGCCUUCGGGUUGUAAAGUACUUUCAGCGGGGAGGAAGGGAGUAAAGUUAAUACCUUUGCUCAUUGACGUUACCCGCAGAAGAAGCACCGGCUAACUCCGUG
RNAcentral lists this ribosomal RNA (490 nucleotides) under uncultured bacterium. Its description in RNAcentral is "partial 16S ribosomal RNA". It matches the Rfam family "Bacterial small subunit ribosomal RNA", at positions 30 to 507 of the family's 1533-position model. The record is from RNAcentral.